GACGAACGCUGGCGGCGUGCUUAACACAUGCAAGUCGUACGGUAAGGCCCUUUCGGGGGUACACGAGUGGCGAACGGGUGCGUAACACGUGAGUAACCUGCCCACAACUUUGGGAUAACGCUAGGAAACUGGUGCUAAUACUGGAUAUGUGCUCCUGCUGCAUGGUGGGGGUUGGAAAGCUCCGGCGGUUGUGGAUGGACUCGCGGCCUAUCAGCUUGUUGGUGGGGUAGUGGCCUACCAAGGCGGCGACGGGUAGCCGGCCUGAGAGGGUGACCGGCCACAUUGGGACUGAGAUACGGCCCAGACUCCUACGGGAGGCAGCAGUGGGGAAUAUUGCACAAUGGGCGCAAGCCGGAUGCAGCAACGCCGCGGGCGGGAGGACGGCCUUCGGGUUGUAAACCGCUUUCAGCAGGGACGAAGCUUUUUGUGACGGUACCUGCAGAAGAAGCACCGGCUAACUACGUG
Molecule: ribosomal RNA, 465 nt
Filed under: uncultured bacterium
Lineage: Bacteria
Description: partial 16S ribosomal RNA
Rfam family: Bacterial small subunit ribosomal RNA
Source: RNAcentral